Molecule: transfer RNA, 73 nt
Filed under: Candidatus Omnitrophota bacterium
Lineage: Bacteria; Pseudomonadati; Candidatus Omnitrophota
Description: tRNA-Thr
Rfam family: tRNA
About the family: Transfer RNA (tRNA) molecules are approximately 80 nucleotides in length. Their secondary structure includes four short double-helical elements and three loops (D, anti-codon, and T loops). Further hydrogen bonds mediate the characteristic L-shaped molecular structure. tRNAs have two regions of fundamental functional importance: the anti-codon, which is responsible for specific mRNA codon recognition, and the 3' end, to which the tRNAs corresponding amino acid is attached (by aminoacyl-tRNA synthetases). tRNAs cope with the degeneracy of the genetic code in two manners: having more than one tRNA (with a specific anti-codon) for a particular amino acid; and 'wobble' base-pairing, i.e. permitting non-standard base-pairing at the 3rd anti-codon position.
Source: RNAcentral
GCCCAUGUAGCUCAGUUGGUAGAGCGUAUCCUUGGUAAGGAUAAGGUCACCGGUUCGAUUCCGGUCGUGGGCU